RNAcentral lists this ribosomal RNA (926 nucleotides) under uncultured bacterium. Its description in RNAcentral is "bacterial SSU rRNA". It matches the Rfam family "Bacterial small subunit ribosomal RNA", at positions 1 to 917 of the family's 1533-position model. The record is from RNAcentral. RNAcentral also lists the same sequence under 1 other name.
UGGAUCCAGACUUUGAUCCUGGCUCAGGAUGAACGCUAGCUACAGGCUUAACACAUGCAAGUCGAGGGGAAACGAUAGAGAAAGCUUGCUUUUUCUAGGCGUCGACCGGCGCACGGGUGAGUAACGCGUAUCCAACCUGCCCACCACUUGGGGAUAACCUUGCGAAAGUAAGACUAAUACCCAAUGAUAUCUCUAGAAGACAUCUGAAGGAGAUUAAAGUUUUAUCGGUGAUGGAUGGGGAUGCGUCUGAUUAGCUUGUUGGCGGGGUAACGGCCCACCAAGGCGACGAUCAGUAGGGGUUCUGAGAGGAAGGUCCCCCACAUUGGAACUGAGACACGGUCCAAACUCCUACGGGAGGCAGCAGUGAGGAAUAUUGGUCAAUGGGCGAGAGCCUGAACCAGCCAAGUAGCGUGCAGGAUGACGGCCCUAUGGGUUGUAAACUGCUUUUAUAAGGGAAUAAAGUGAGAGUCGUGACUCUUUUUGCAUGUACCUUAUGAAUAAGGACCGGCUAAUUCCGUGCCAGCAGCCGCGGUAAUACGGAAGGUCCGGGCGUUAUCCGGAUUUAUUGGGUUUAAAGGGAGCGUAGGCCGGAGAUUAAGCGUGUUGUGAAAUGUAGAUGCUCAACAUCUGCACUGCAGCGCGAACUGGUUUCCUUGAGUACGCACAAAGUGGGCGGAAUUCGUGGUGUAGCGGUGAAAUGCUUAGAUAUCACGAAGAACUCCGAUUGCGAAGGCAGCCCACUGGAGCGCAACUGACGCUGAAGCUCGAAAGUGCGGGUAUCGAACAGGAUUAGAUACCCUGGUAGUCCGCACGGUAAACGAUGGAUGCCCGCUGUUGGUCUGAAUAGGUCAGCGGCCAAGCGAAAGCAUUAAGCAUCCCACCUGGGGAGUACGCCGGCAACGGUGCAACUCAAAGGAAUUGACGGA